CUUGACCAUUUCCUGCGCCGCCAUUCUGCGGUUAUGGGGGCUGUUGAGGCCUUUCACAUUCAGGGUUAAGAUUCUCAUUACAUUAGCCAUUUUAUUCCCUUUUUAGGAUGCAUUUGUGGUGCGUGCGAGUUCGAGUGAUGAUGUAUAGCAAAUGUUGUUGGUGUUGCCCAGGGGUAGGUAAUGUGAGAAGGAACUGGGGGUGACAAAACAGGGGGAUGUAACAAAAUG
Non-coding RNA from Pelobates cultripes (western spadefoot toad), 228 nucleotides. NCBI's taxonomy places the organism in Eukaryota, Metazoa, Chordata, Amphibia, Anura, Pelobatidae. The record is from the annotation of a GenBank genome assembly.